RNAcentral lists this ribosomal RNA (253 nucleotides) under uncultured bacterium. RNAcentral describes it as "partial 16S ribosomal RNA". It matches the Rfam family "Bacterial small subunit ribosomal RNA", at positions 524 to 776 of the family's 1533-position model. The record is from RNAcentral.
UACAGAGGGUGCGAGCGUUAAUCGGAAUUACUGGGCGUAAAGCGCGCGUAGGCGGCUUUGCAAGUCGGGUGUGAAAUCCCCAGGCUUAACCUGGGAACUGCAUUCGAGACUGCAUUGCUAGAGUAUGGGAGAGGGAAGUGGAAUUUCCGGUGUAGCGGUGAAAUGCGUAGAUAUUAGGAGGAACACCGGUGGCGAAGGCGCCACUCUGGGCCGAAACUGACGCUGAGGAGCGAAAGCAUGGGUAGCAAACAGG